CAAUAUAUGGUGUAAUUGAUAACAUAUUCAUAUUGGGAAUGAAAGAUGUUGGUUUAAGUCCAAUUAUUUUGA
Theileria parva strain Muguga is the source of this 72-nucleotide transfer RNA. It matches the Rfam family "tRNA". Rfam says of the family: Transfer RNA (tRNA) molecules are approximately 80 nucleotides in length. The record is from Rfam. NCBI's taxonomy places the organism in Eukaryota, Apicomplexa, Aconoidasida, Piroplasmida, Theileriidae.